Molecule: ribosomal RNA, 253 nt
Filed under: uncultured bacterium
Lineage: Bacteria
Description: partial 16S ribosomal RNA
Rfam family: Bacterial small subunit ribosomal RNA
Source: RNAcentral
UACGGAGGGGGCUAACGUUGUUCGGAAUUACUGGGCGUAAAGCGCGCGUAGGCGGAUUAGACAGUUGAGGGUGAAAUCCCGGAGCUUAACUCCGGAACUGCCUUCAAAACUCCCAGUCUAGAGUUCGAGAGAGGUGAGUGGAAUUUCUGGUGUAGCGGUGAAAUGCGUAGAUAUCAGAAGGAACAUCAAUGGCGAAGGCAGCUUUCUGGCUCGAUACUGACGCUGAGGUGCGAAAGUGUGGGGAGCAAACAGG